This 425-nucleotide ribosomal RNA is filed under the name uncultured bacterium. RNAcentral's name for it is "partial 16S ribosomal RNA". It matches the Rfam family "Bacterial small subunit ribosomal RNA", at positions 354 to 796 of the family's 1533-position model. The record is from RNAcentral.
GUGGGGAAUCUUGCGCAAUGGGCGAAAGCCUGACGCAGCCAUGCCGCGUGAAUGAUGAAGGUCUUAGGAUUGUCAAAUUCUUUCACCGGGGACGAUAAUGACGGUACCCGGAGAAGAAGCCCCGGCUAACUUCGUGCCAGCAGCCGCGGUAAUACGAAGGGGGCUAGCGUUGCUCGGAAUUACUGGGCGUAAAGGGCGCGUAGGCGGACAGUUUAGUCAGAGGUGAAAGCCCAGGGCUCAACCUUGGAAUUGCCUUUGAUACUGGCUGUCUUGAGUACGAGAGAGGUGAGUGGAACUCCGAGUGUAGAGGUGAAAUUCGUAGAUAUUCGGAAGAACACCAGUGGCGAAGGCGACUCACUGGCCCGUUACUGACGCUGAGGCGCGAAAGCGUGGGGAGCAAACAGGAUUAGAAACCCGGGUAGUCC